Molecule: long non-coding RNA, 1232 nt
Filed under: Phascolarctos cinereus (koala)
Lineage: Eukaryota; Metazoa; Chordata; Mammalia; Diprotodontia; Phascolarctidae
Description: lncRNA (ENSPCIG00000019040.2)
Source: RNAcentral
CCUUGUACUUUCUCCUUUGUCCCUUCUCUACCCUCCUGACUCCUCACUCUACAUCUCAAGUUGCUCCCGUAGGUUGCUGAGUUCCAGUGGCUAGAUCACUAUAUUAUUGGAGGGUAUGGGCUAGAACGAGAGCCAGUGGCUGGUCAACAACGUGGGUCUAUUUUUUCAAAAAGUCUUUACUUUCAUCUAAAUGGAAUGACCUGAUCCCCUGGGCUAGAACAAUGGAGGACUUGGAGGGGACAAGCUGAUGCCACUCUUGUCUGUGGAACCUUAAGAAUUUGAAGACAUCUCAGACCUCUGGGAGCACCCCGGGAUCCUCAGGAAUGCCUAAAGUAGGUUCAGCUGAAAGCAGCCCAAAGUCUAGGCAUUGUUGUGGCCUGACUAGCCCCAACGAAACUGAAAAGGAAGCCAAGUGUGAAUGUUUCCCUCUCUGGAUGCCAGCCUGCUUCUGAAGAGUGUUCUCUGACCCAGGCAGCUAUGAUCACAGUUCUCAGCUAUUUAACAGAAAGUGAACAGAUGGAAGUCGGUGGAAAUCCACAUGUUUGGUUAGCAAAUGCCCUCACACCCAAAUCUGGGGAUGAAGAAGGCUGGAAUUUCUGUUUUAUCAAAGGUGAAAGGUCAUGGUGAAGGGGCUGAUGCUAUAGCAAUUACCAAGGAAAUGCUAGAAAUUGAUAAUGCAUAACUUGGUGUUCCUCUUCUGCUUAUAUUGUUAGUAGGAUGAAUCCCCCAAGAAUACUUAUUGAACAAAAUUGGUUUGAAGAAAGGAUUUUAAUCCAGGAUUGAGAAAUACUUAUCAUUGUGCCUGGCAUAUAGUAGAUGCUUAAUGCAUGUUUAUUGAUUGAUUAAUGGAUUGAAAAGAUGACUUUCUGCUUCAUUAGCUUGCCUUGAAAACCCUUAGCACCUGAAGUUCAUUCAUUAAUGUGUCAACUUCCAAGAUGGCACCCAAAACCUGAGACUCUUAGAGAGAGUAAAGUUGAGAGAAUAAUUGUUGUGAAUUUAUUCCUCUGCUGGGGAGCAAGCAUUCUGAUCAGUGUGACCUGGCUGAUAAAACAUCUUGAUAUAGCUGCAUAUUUUUGGCAUAAAAGAUGCCAGCAACGUUACCACAGUGCAAGCAAAAUAAUGAACCCCUGGAAGAUUUUCACCAAAACUUCUGUGUUAGGCCUGCAUUGUACAUGUGGAGCAUAUUUGGACAAUCAGCUCAACAGCGCACAGGCAAAGCCCUUGGUUUAUUC